Molecule: non-coding RNA, 75 nt
Organism: Theileria equi strain WA
Lineage: Eukaryota; Apicomplexa; Aconoidasida; Piroplasmida; Theileriidae
Source: Rfam
AGGUUUAUAGCUUAAAUGUUUAAAGCGGCGUAAAUACGAGUUAUGUCUAUAAAGGUUAAAAUCCUUUUAAACUUG